UUGACUCUUCUGAAGACCAAAUAUGUUUUUAUAUCAGAAUAGGCACAGCAUGGAGAGCACUAGGGCCAGCUUCCCUGCUCCACCAUGGUGCCUCAACACUGGCCUGGAGGGACCAUCUCUAGAAAUGUGAAUGCAGUUGUUGGACUCUCUACUGAGAAUGUCAACAAGGCUGUC
This 174-nucleotide small RNA is filed under the name Chelonoidis abingdonii (Abingdon island giant tortoise). Its description in RNAcentral is "TUC338 (ENSCABG00000002936.1)". Lineage: Eukaryota; Metazoa; Chordata; Testudines; Testudinidae. The record is from RNAcentral.